UUCACAUUCACUGCUCUUAAACCUACCAUUCUUCAUCGUUAUAGUGUAUACAUCAAAAGACAAGCAUCAUCUAAUGAAUGUAAUACAGACUUUAUCCAAAUCAUCUUACUGUUUAAACACAUUAAAUGAUAUGAAAGACAAUAUACUGAAGUUGCCAAUUUGAGGUCAGACUGUAACUAGGAACACAAUUGGCGCAACACUUUGUCUAAAUAAAGGUUGUGCAGCAAGUUUUGAGAAUGUAUUGAGCUCAACCUGAGCCAUUCUUCCAUCACUGAUGAUAGAACGUCAUCAUUGAAGGGGCGACUAAGCCAAAUGCAAUAUGCGAUAUCUGAAUCCAUUUGAUCCUUGAAAAAUUAUCCAACGCCUCUGACAUACUGAUCGAGGGUAGAAUUAAAUAGCUCACACUUGAUAGGAGCCCCUGGGGAGUAGAGCGGAUUCUUCACCACAUAUUCAACAUACAAAUUGUAAAUAUACUUCAAAGAUUCCCUUAGAUCACCAGUCCUAGGAUGUGUGACAAGGAUGAUCUUUAUUCCAGAUGGACUUUCCAUGAAACUGAGUUUAUAUGUAUUAGUCCGAAAGCUGUGAAACGAACAUCCUUGUCCAGGUAAUUGCGGCACCCCAAGAUUACCUUUUUCAGUACUUGUGGGAUCCAUCUUAGCGGUCAAAGAUUUGAG
RNAcentral lists this unclassified non-coding RNA (674 nucleotides) under Hevea brasiliensis (rubber tree). Lineage: Eukaryota; Viridiplantae; Streptophyta; Magnoliopsida; Malpighiales; Euphorbiaceae. The record is from RNAcentral.